UCUUGUAAAUUGGUUUUAUGACAACGCUUAAAAUAAUGGUGACUUUCAUAUGAAUUUUAUCUUUCAUUUUUAUCAUGCAUCUUAACACUUUUGUCUUUUUAUGUCACAUUUACAUACUACUAUUUUUUUUUUUAAAGAACGAAUCAUGUGUGGGGAAAAUAAUGCAAGGGACUUAUAAUUAGGGUCUUUUAUUCUAAUUUUUUUGCGAUAGAGAUAAUCUUAAAGAUGUGUGGAUCUUAAAGACUAUGGAUAAGCUUUUUAUUUUGCUUUCAUGCUUCCUUUCGUAAAAGAAAAGACCUUCACAAUUUUUUUGCAGUUCGGAAGCCGAUUUUAUCAAGGAAAUUGUUAAAGAGCUUGAGAGAGUUCUAGAUGAAAUUCGACACAAGGCCACAGCAGAGUAUCAUUGUAUCAAUUUCCUCCAGAAUAAGAAAAGAAAAAAGAUGUAUCAGUUUUUUCCUGAAAGUGAGAAGAAAAGUCUUGGAAAUGGUCAUAUCAAUUCCUCACAUGUAAGAGGUCAAGAAGACUCAAGAGGAGCAAAACCAAGAAGUUCUGAUAUAUAAACGUGGUUCAAACGUUCUUACAGUAUAUCUGACGUGGUUUGUCCCGGCUGUGGUGACGUUUAAGGCGGAGUUUUGCCGACAUUUGUAAGCGAAACGGAAGAGGUUGCUCAGGGUUUUUAUCUUUGACGCUGCCAUCUUUUACGAAUCUUUUGACUCAAAUCAAAAAAAGAAAGAAGAAACAGAGUUACUUGGUGAACAAGGAUAAAUAUGUGACUGAAUAAGAAAAGCUAGGGUUUGUGGAAAUCUAGUUAAACCCUAAAAAGCGACCAGUCAAACCCUAAACAAAACAAUCUAUAUAGGUUAAAUUGUAUAUUCGAGAGUAUAACCUUUUUUUAUAUAAAUAUGUGAUUUUUUUUUUA
This is a long non-coding RNA of Camelina sativa (false flax), 919 nucleotides long. RefSeq lists it as uncharacterized. The record is from RefSeq and is a predicted model, not a curated record. Lineage: Eukaryota; Viridiplantae; Streptophyta; Magnoliopsida; Brassicales; Brassicaceae.